CUUGGUUGCUGGUUGACAAUAGAAGCAGCACCCGCAAAGUCACACGAUCCGCUAGCCCGACCGGUGGUCUGGUAAAAAUUGUUGAAUGCAUAGGUCGCGUGUGCCACCUUAGUGUCAGGAUCAAAGCACUGUGCACCUGGUUGAAUGGCGCUGCAGUCCGCACAGCUACCACAUGCAUAGUCUAGUGCAUUUUGCAGCCGUGCGUCCCCGACCUCCGAUUUCGCAACACACCAACUUGGUCCGCGCCGUUACCGCACGCAAAGUCCAACGCUGACUGCAAUGCUGCACUCCCAACAUCUGCUCUCGCCACACACCAACUCGUCUUUGUAGGACAAGCUCCGCCACCGCCACCGCCCCGAAAGUCAACCUCAUACACCUUCUGACCAUUUGGGUAGAACAAGCCAAAGUUUCUCUCUAUGGUUGGUCCAGGCUUCUCGUUUUCAUUGAAAAGAGAGAAAAUGUAGGCGGAGACGUCACGCAUACCGGAGGCUCCGG
Molecule: small RNA, 495 nt
Filed under: Oryza sativa Japonica Group (Japanese rice)
Lineage: Eukaryota; Viridiplantae; Streptophyta; Magnoliopsida; Poales; Poaceae
Description: sRNA Os08g0244625
Source: RNAcentral